GCCUAAGCCCAUACCACCAUUGGUACUUAAUCUCAUUUGAUCUAAGAAGCUAAGCAGAAUUGAGCCCGGAUAGUAGUUGCAUGGGAGACUGUCUGGAAAGAUCGAUGCUAUAGACU
Molecule: ribosomal RNA, 116 nt
Filed under: Phascolarctos cinereus (koala)
Lineage: Eukaryota; Metazoa; Chordata; Mammalia; Diprotodontia; Phascolarctidae
Source: RNAcentral